CCUGACUGCUAUCGGAUUGAUACUAAGCCAUGCGAGUCGUUGUAGCAAUGCAAGGCAGACGGCUCAGUAACACGUAGUCAACCUACCCUAUGGUCGGGGAUAAUCUCGGGAAACUGAGCAUAAUACCCGAUAGGUCAUAAUGCCUGGAAUGGUUUAUGGCCCAAAUGAUUUAUCSCCAUAGGAUGGGACUGCGGUCUAUCAGCUUGUUGGUGAGGUAAUGGCCCACCAAGGCAAUAACAGAUACGGGCUCUGAGAGGAGAAGCCCGGAGAUGGGUACUGAGACACGGACCCAGGCCCUAUGGGGCGCAGCAGGCRAGAAAACUUUGCAAUGUGCGAAAGCACGACAAGGUUAAUCCGAGUGUUUCCUGCUAAAGGAAUCUUUUGUCGAUCCUAAAAACACCGAUGAAUAAGGGGUGGGCAAGUUCUGGUGUCAGCCGCCGCGGUAAAACCAGCACCUCAAGUGGUCAGGAGGAUUAUUGGGCCUAAAGCAUCCGUAGCCGGCUGUGUUAGUCUCCGGUUAAAUCCAUAUGCUUAACAUAUGGGCUGCCGGAGAUACUGCACAGCUAGGGAGUGGGAGAGGUAGACGGUACUUGGUAGGAAGGGGUAAAAUCCUUUAAUCUACUGAUGACCACCUGUGGCGAAGGCGGUCUACUAGAACACGUCCGACGGUGAGGGAUGAAAGCUGGGGGAGCAAACCGGAUUAGAUACCCGGGUAGUCCCAGCUGUAAACAAUGCAAACUCAGUGAUGCGCUGGCUUGUGGCCAGCGCAGUGCCGCAGGGAAGCCGUUAAGUUUGCCGCCUGGGAAGUACGUACGCAAGUAUGAAACUUAAAGGAAUUGGCGGGGGAGCACCACAAGGGGUGAAGCCUCGGUUC
This 874-nucleotide ribosomal RNA is filed under the name uncultured archaeon. RNAcentral's name for it is "bacterial SSU rRNA". It matches the Rfam family "Archaeal small subunit ribosomal RNA", at positions 21 to 903 of the family's 1478-position model. The record is from RNAcentral.